UCCACGGAGGACUAGUGGUUAGGUUACAGUGCUCUCACUGCUGCAGCCCACGUUCGAUUCCUGGGCAGGGAA
Non-coding RNA from Pangasianodon gigas (Mekong giant catfish), 72 nucleotides. The record is from the annotation of a GenBank genome assembly. NCBI's taxonomy places the organism in Eukaryota, Metazoa, Chordata, Actinopteri, Siluriformes, Pangasiidae.